GUUAGUUUACCCUUAAAUGAAAUAAACAGUAGGGAGUGGGAUUUUUUUGUUUUCUUAUGUUCUUAUCCGCUUUCCCGUCGCCGUAAUCAGACACGCAAUUCAAGGCAUUAUCUAACACGCAACCAACGAUGAUGACGAAACCCAUUUACCAAAACCAGAUCCAUGUUGAAAAUAUUUUUUUUAUAUAACCAUUUCCAAAAUUGCAAUAAAAUUUAUUCAUCUUCUCUUUUGAAUCUUUCCCUUUCUUUCCUUUUCCUGUAAAAAUGGAGGGUUCCUCGUCUGACAAGCUGAUCGUUGUGACCCGUGAACCUGAAGGGAUCGCUACUGUUACCAUCAAUCGACCCAAAUCUCUCAACUCCUUGACCCGGCCCAUGAUGGUGGACUUGGCCAAGGCUUUCAAGGCUCUUGCGAAGGACAACUCGGUGCGGGUCAUCAUCUUGUCUGGAGCUGGACGGGCUUUCUGUUCAGGCGUGGAUUUGACGGCUGCACAAGAUGUUUUCAAGGGUGACGUUAAGGACCCGGAGGCGGAUCCGGUUGUUCAGAUGGAGCAAUGCCCCAAACCCAUCAUCGGAGCUAUCAACGGCCUUGCUAUUACUGCCGGCUUCGAGAUCGCCCUCGCUUGUGAUAUGCUGGUCGCUGCUAAGGGAGCCGCUUUCGUUGAUACUCACGCCAGAUUUGGGAUAUUUCCUUCAUGGGGUUUAUCCCAGAAGCUUGCACGCUUUAUAGGACCAAACAAGGCUCGCGAAGUGUCGUUGGCAGCCAUGCCUUUGUCAGCAGAGGAAGCUGAGAAAUUGGGGUUUGUCAAUUAUAUUGUUGACCAAAAUGAAGUGUUGAAUAAAGCUCGACAACUUGCAGGAGCAAUUAUGAAGAACAGUCAAGACUUGGUUCUCAGGUACAAGUCUGUGAUCAAUGAUGGGUACAAAUUGGAUCUCCGUCAGGGUCUCGCCAUAGAAAAACUACAUAAUGAAAAGAAAGUAAUCAAAGCUAUGCAAUACAAGAAUAAAAGAAAGUGAAAAAGAUUGUAUUCCAUGUGUCUUUACAUGGUAUCUUAGCCCUGCUAACGUCGUCUUCGCACGGUUAAUGGAGAGGGGUCAUGAAUACUACGAUGGAAUGACACCGGAGCAGUUUAAGAAGAUGCAAGAAUUCAUAGCUAGGCGGAGUUCCAAGAAACCAUCUUCCAAGUUGUAAUAUGAUCUCCUCCAUGCAUCUUCUGACUUGUUGUUUAGUCACUGUUUUAUAAUGAAAACAUAAUGUGGGGAAAUAAAUUUGGUGGUUACUGGACUCUUACUAAUACAUAAGUAUCAGUUCUGUAUAAUGAGUUAUAUGGUUUUUAACAUGAUAAAACCAUGUUUGGAAUGUAUUAAUUUACUUUCUUCUUCUAUCUUUAGUUACGACUAAGCCUUCUUCAA
RNA transcript from Gossypium raimondii (Peruvian cotton), 1409 nucleotides. It is a transcript of the gene named probable enoyl-CoA hydratase 1, peroxisomal, with no coding region annotated. NCBI's taxonomy places the organism in Eukaryota, Viridiplantae, Streptophyta, Magnoliopsida, Malvales, Malvaceae. The transcript has 4 exons. The record is from RefSeq and is a predicted model, not a curated record.